AGUGAACGCUGGCGGUAGGCCUAACACAUGCAAGUCGAACGGCAGCACAGUAAGAGCUUGCUCUUACGGGUGGCGAGUGGCGGACGGGUGAGGAAUACAUCGGAAUCUACUUUUUCGUGGGGGAUAACGUAGGGAAACUUACGCUAAUACCGCAUACGACCUACGGGUGAAAGCAGGGGAUCUUCGGACCUUGCGCGAUUGAAUGAGCCGAUGUCGGAUUAGCUAGUUGGCGGGGUAAAGGCCCACCAAGGCGACGAUCCGUAGCUGGUCUGAGAGGAUGGUCAGCCACAUUGGAACUGAGACACGGUCCAGACUCCUACGGGAGGCAGCAGUGGGGAAUAUUGGACAAUGGGCGCAAGCCUGAUCCAGCCAUACCGCGUGGGUGAAGAAGGCCUUCGGGUUGUAAAGCCCUUUUGUUGGGAAAGAAAAGCAGCAGGUUAAUACCCCGCUGUUCUGACGGUACCCAAAGAAUAAGCACCGGCUAACUUCGUG
Molecule: ribosomal RNA, 492 nt
Filed under: uncultured bacterium
Lineage: Bacteria
Description: partial 16S ribosomal RNA
Rfam family: Bacterial small subunit ribosomal RNA
Source: RNAcentral